This 71-nucleotide transfer RNA is filed under the name Pseudomonadota bacterium. RNAcentral describes it as "tRNA-Trp". It matches the Rfam family "tRNA". From Rfam's summary of the family: Transfer RNA (tRNA) molecules are approximately 80 nucleotides in length. Their secondary structure includes four short double-helical elements and three loops (D, anti-codon, and T loops). Further hydrogen bonds mediate the characteristic L-shaped molecular structure. tRNAs have two regions of fundamental functional importance: the anti-codon, which is responsible for specific mRNA codon recognition, and the 3' end, to which the tRNAs corresponding amino acid is attached (by aminoacyl-tRNA synthetases). tRNAs cope with the degeneracy of the genetic code in two manners: having more than one tRNA (with a specific anti-codon) for a particular amino acid; and 'wobble' base-pairing, i.e. permitting non-standard base-pairing at the 3rd anti-codon position. Lineage: Bacteria; Pseudomonadati; Pseudomonadota. The record is from RNAcentral. RNAcentral also lists the same sequence under 1 other name.
AGGCCUGUCGUUCAGCGGUAGGACAUCGGUCUCCAAAACCGAGAACGGGGGUUCGAUUCCCUCCAGGCCUG